RNAcentral lists this ribosomal RNA (446 nucleotides) under uncultured bacterium. Its description in RNAcentral is "bacterial SSU rRNA". It matches the Rfam family "Bacterial small subunit ribosomal RNA", at positions 899 to 1341 of the family's 1533-position model. The record is from RNAcentral.
ACUCAAAGGAAUUGACGGGGACCCGCACAAGCGGUGGAUGAUGUGGUUUAAUUCGAUGCAACGCGAAAAAUACCUUACCUACCCUUGACAUGUCUGGAAUUUCUGCAGAGAUGUGAAAGUGCCCGAAAGGGAGCCAGAACACAGGUGCUGCAUGGCUGUCGUCAGCUCGUGUCGUGAGAUGUUGGGUUAAGUCCCGCUAACGAGCGCAACCCUUGUCAUUAGUUGCUACGAAAGGGCACUCUUAUGAGACUGCCGGUGACAUACCGGAGGAAGGUGGGAUGACGUCAAAGUCCUCAUGGCCCUUAUGGGUAGGGCUACACACGUCAUACAAUGGCUGGUACAGAGGGUUGCCAACCCGCGAGGGGGAGCUAAUCCCAUAAAACCAGUCGUAGUCCGUGAUCGUAGUCAUGCAACUCGACUGCGUGAAGUCGGUAAUCGCAUAGUAA